GACGAACGCUGGCGGCGUGCUUAACACAUGCAAGUCGAACGGAAAGGCCCUGCUUUUGUGGGGUGCUCGAGUGGCGAACGGGUGAGUAACACGUGAGUAACCUGCCCUUGACUUUGGGAUAACUUCAGGAAACUGGGGCUAAUACCGGAUAGGAGCUACUGCUGCAUGGUGGGGGUUGGAAAGUUUCGGCGGUUGGGGAUGGACUCGCGGCUUAUCAGCUUGUUGGUGGGGUAGUGGCUUACCAAGGCUUUGACGGGUAGCCGGCCUGGGAGGGUUACCGGCCUCCUUGGGCCUACGGUACGGCGCAGACUCCAACGGGAGGCAGCAGUCGAGAGUAUGGCGCAACGGCCGCGAGCCUGAUGCAACAGCGCCGCGUGCGGGAUGACGGCCUUCGGGUUGUAAACCGAUUUCGCCUGUGACAAAGCGUGAGUGACGGUACUGGGUAAAGAAGCACCGGCUAACUACGUG
RNAcentral lists this ribosomal RNA (468 nucleotides) under uncultured bacterium. RNAcentral's name for it is "partial 16S ribosomal RNA". It matches the Rfam family "Bacterial small subunit ribosomal RNA", at positions 28 to 507 of the family's 1533-position model. The record is from RNAcentral.